GACGAACGCUGGCGGCGUGCCUAAUACAUGCAAGUUGAGCGCUGAAGGUUGGUACUUGUACCAACUGGAUGAGCAGCGAACGGGUGAGUAACGCGUGGGGAAUCUGCCUUUGAGCGGGGGACAACAUUUGGAAACGAAUGCUAAUACCGCAUAAAAACUUUAAACACAAGUUUUAAGUUUGAAAGAUGCAAUUGCAUCACUCAAAGAUGAUCCCGCGUUGUAUUAGCUAGUUGGUGAGGUAAAGGCUCACCAAGGCGAUGAUACAUAGCCGACCUGAGAGGGUGAUCGGCCACAUUGGGACUGAGACACGGCCCAAACGCCUACGGGAGGCAGCAGUAGGGAAUCUUCGGCAAUGGACGAAAGUCUGACCGAGCAACACCGCGUGAGUGAAGAAGGGUUUCGGAUCGUAAAACUCUGUUGGUAGAGAAGAACGUUGGUGAGAGUGGAAAGCUCAUCAAGUGACGGUAACUACCCAGAAAGGGACGGCUAACUACGUG
This 497-nucleotide ribosomal RNA is filed under the name uncultured bacterium. Its description in RNAcentral is "partial 16S ribosomal RNA". It matches the Rfam family "Bacterial small subunit ribosomal RNA", at positions 28 to 507 of the family's 1533-position model. The record is from RNAcentral.